RNAcentral lists this ribosomal RNA (336 nucleotides) under uncultured bacterium. Its description in RNAcentral is "bacterial SSU rRNA". It matches the Rfam family "Bacterial small subunit ribosomal RNA", at positions 32 to 359 of the family's 1533-position model. The record is from RNAcentral.
AAUCAACGCUGGCGGCGUGCCUCAGACAUGCAAGUCGAACGCGAAAGUCCCCUUCGGGGGAGUGAUUAGAGUGGCGCACGGGUGAGUAACACGUAGGUAAUCUACCUUCGAGUGGGGAAUAACUCAGGGAAACUUGAGCUAAUACUGCAUAAUGCAGCGGCACCACAUGGUGACAGUUGUUAAAGCAUUUAUGCGCUUGAAGAGGAGCCUGCGGCAGAUUAGCUAGUUGGUAAGGUAAUGGCUUACCAAGCUACGAUCUGUAACCGGCCUGAGAGGGCGGACGGUCACACUGACACUGAAUAACGGGUCAGACUCCUACGGGAGGCAGCAGUCGGG